GAGCUGUACGAACUAGGCGAUUAUCAUCUCGAACUCAUGGAGCAAGAUCCAAAACCCGGGAAACAAGAGUGGUCACCGGAUUCCACAUCGUACCGACAGUUUCUACACACAGGUCGUCAUACAACGCCCGUGGUCUAUUCGUCUCUACCAGCAUUGUUUUCCCGCACAAUACGGACAAUGCGAACAACUGCCUGAGGGGAAACACGUCGGUGCAAUCCACCGUCCUGUAAAUCCACUAGAGUUUACUAGAAACCGGAAGCUCACGGACGAAGUACUAACGUUGAUAAUGGCCGAUUACGAACGCGGCUGCAGAGGGAUCGAUAGCGGUAUUAACUGUCACGGCAUUGAGCAUCUCUGAGUGGAGGAAGUGCCAAGUAAAUGCGAACACGACUGUGCAAUUGACUAGGUUUAUAAUUGCCUAACAAUAAGAUGAUGUUUACUCCUUGGUAAAUGGCAAAGAAUUAGUUAUGAAACCGAUGUAUAUCUUACGUAUAUAAGUGCUGCGUUUGUCGAGAACAAGUAACGAGCGAUCGAGGAAACGAUCACCAAGGGUGCUCCAAACUCGGGAGUGGCUCGUCUUUCUGCGAUGCGUCUACGUUUUCCCCGACUUCUCUCGCAGCUGCAGGCUAUUGUUCUUUCAAUAAUGGACGAGCCACUUCGAGAUGAGGCGAAGAUCCAACAAUAAUGGCUCCGAGGAAAAUGCUAUCGAUGUACGUGUCGCAGAAUGGUACACGUGAGACCACGUAGAGAUAAUGUUUACGCUGCAGGAUGCACGCUAUAUAAAUCGACACGCAUUCCGGACACAUUUUCAUUUCCCGCCAUAUCGCAUAUCUCGCCUGUAUCUUAUAUAUGUCCCAUAUCUUUAGAUUCUAUAAAUGUGCAUUAAACUAUUUCUCGUUUUAUUUUUGCG
Molecule: long non-coding RNA, 910 nt
Organism: Temnothorax curvispinosus
Lineage: Eukaryota; Metazoa; Arthropoda; Insecta; Hymenoptera; Formicidae
Exons: 3
Source: RefSeq, a predicted model, not a curated record